CAAUAGCGUAUAUUAAAGCUGUUGCGGUUAAAAAGCUCGUAGUUGGAUUUCUGUCAAGGACAACUGGUCCGCCCUCCGGGUGAGCACAUAGUUUGGUCUUGGCAUCUUGCUGGAAACUGUUGCUGCGCUUGGUUGUGUGGUGCAGCUUUCAGCACUUUCACUUUGAGGAAAUUGGAGUGUUUCAAGCAGGCACAUGCCUUUGGACACAGUAGCAUGGAAUAAUUAGAUUGGGCUUUUGCUCCAACUUGUUGGUUCCUGGAGCUGAGGUGAGAAUCAAUGGGGAUUGUUGGGGGCAUCCGAAUUCAGCCGUCAGAGGUGAAAUUCUUGGAUCUGCUAAAGACGGACAACUGCGAAAGCGUUUGCCCAGGAUGUUUNCAUUGA
Molecule: ribosomal RNA, 381 nt
Filed under: uncultured eukaryote
Lineage: Eukaryota
Description: partial 18S ribosomal RNA
Rfam family: Eukaryotic small subunit ribosomal RNA
Source: RNAcentral